Molecule: long non-coding RNA, 743 nt
Organism: Tachysurus fulvidraco (yellow catfish)
Lineage: Eukaryota; Metazoa; Chordata; Actinopteri; Siluriformes; Bagridae
Exons: 3
Source: RefSeq, a predicted model, not a curated record
ACAAGCAAAAAUGACACACAUGCAAAGGACAAAGGCAUAUAUUAGUUCUGUGAAAGAAAGCAAAACCAGCGUUACUUACCUAUCAAGAAGGGAAAAAGCAACCUCGGCGUCCCUUCACAGGCCUUCCCGCUCCUUCAGUUCUCUCCAGCGCUGGAAAGCUGAUCCUAUAUUUACAUGGGUACUGCUUCUUUCCCUAUCGUAAGCCAUUUUUCGCUAUUCAGUUUUAUCUGCCAUGUUAAUGUUUCAAUCACUUUCGGCUAAUGUCACACAUGCGCACUGAACACUCUCACGCAUAUUGACAAGACACGCCCCUUUCUGCUCAUUGGCUACACGUUUGUUUUGUUUGUCAGCCCGACUCAGCUUUCUGAAGCAUUUCAGAAAGCCUUUAAGUAUAUUCCUUUAUACUGAUGCAUACAACUUCUGCACAAACUUUUAAACACAACAUUUGAGUUUCAUCAACCAAAUUUUGCAGCAUAACAACAAAAUUAUUCAACACAUUUUCACAAAUGCAUUUAUACUCAGAAACUAUUACAUUUCAACUUAUUACACAUCCAACAAUGCACAUACAUUGUAUUAACUCCCAGUCUUUGUAUUUUUUUAGGUAUUCUUACAAUUCUUCCAGUCCUUGUACGAACAACAGCUGGCUUCCAUGAAUCUCCCUUUUGCAUCUUAUUCCUUCUCCAGGUUGCAGAUUAGGUAGCACAUCUGGAUACUGCAUCUUCAAUUUGUGUCGACAUUCCUGG